This 111-nucleotide small nuclear RNA is filed under the name Microcebus murinus (gray mouse lemur). Lineage: Eukaryota; Metazoa; Chordata; Mammalia; Primates; Cheirogaleidae. The record is from RNAcentral.
GUGCUCGCUUUGGCAGCACAUAUACUAAAAUUGGAACAAUACAGAAAGAGUAGCAUGGCCCCUGCGCAAGGAUGACAAGCAAAUUCGUGAAGCAUUCCAGAUCAAAUUUUU